This 647-nucleotide ribosomal RNA is filed under the name uncultured Clavulina. RNAcentral's name for it is "eukaryotic LSU rRNA". The stretch from base 264 to 417 matches the Rfam family "5.8S ribosomal RNA". The record is from RNAcentral. Lineage: Eukaryota; Fungi; Basidiomycota; Agaricomycetes; Cantharellales; Hydnaceae.
AAGUCGUAACAAGGUUUCCGUAGGUGAACCUGCGGAAGGAUCAUUAAUGAGUUGUAACGGGGUUUUGAUGCUGGCAGGCCAAUUCUUUUGGUAUGCAUGUGCUCGCUCCAACAAUCAUUUUCCACACACCCGUGCACAUUUUUGAGGGAGCUUCGAGUUUGAUUUGCCUCUUUGGGCGAUUUUCUUGCAUCCCCUCAAACUUCAUUAUACGCUGUUAACAAUGCUGAACGUGCUUUGUGCCGCAAGGCCUUAAACAUUAAUACAACUUUUAACAACGGAUCUCUUGGCUCUCGCAUCGAUGAAGAACGCAGCGAAAUGCGAUAAGUAAUGUGAAUUGCAGAAUUCAGUGAAUCAUCGAAUCUUUGAACGCACCUUGCGCUCCCUGGUAUUCCGGGGAGCACGCCUGUUCGAGUGUCGCGAAAUUCUUCAAGCCUUGGAUGGAUUUUUUUUGUCUGUCCUUGGGCUUGGUUGUUGGGCUCUGCCGUGUCCUUCAUUGGGACGGCUGGCCUUAAAAGCAUUAGCCGAUCCUCGUGUGGUACUGGUUCUACUCAGCGUGAUAACAAUCUGAUCGUUGAGGACAUCUUCUGGAUGGCCAGUCAUCAUUUGGGUUGCUUCUAAACCGGUUUCGCAGGUUGCUCAAUCUGUGU